Molecule: ribosomal RNA, 253 nt
Filed under: uncultured bacterium
Lineage: Bacteria
Description: partial 16S ribosomal RNA
Rfam family: Bacterial small subunit ribosomal RNA
Source: RNAcentral
UACGUAGGGGGCUAGCGUUGUCCGGAAUCAUUGGGCGUAAAGAGCGUGUAGGCGGUCCGGUAAGUCCGCUGUGAAAGUCGGGGGCUCAACCCUCGAACGCCGGUGGAUACUGUCGGGCUAGAGUGCGGAAGAGGCGAGUGGAAUUCCUGGUGUAGCGGUGAAAUGCGUAGAUAUCAGGAGGAACACCGGUGGCGAAGGCGGCCUGCUGGGCAGUUGCUGACACUGAGGCGCGAAAGCGUGGGGAGCAAACAGG